Long non-coding RNA from Pipistrellus kuhlii (Kuhl's pipistrelle), 1032 nucleotides. RefSeq lists it as uncharacterized. The record is from RefSeq and is a predicted model, not a curated record. NCBI's taxonomy places the organism in Eukaryota, Metazoa, Chordata, Mammalia, Chiroptera, Vespertilionidae. The transcript has 2 exons.
UCAUUUUUAUAACUUUACAUACUCUUCUUUUUGAAAUUGAACUGUUUUCAUGUGUUAAAGUCACAAAAUUUUAGGGCCAGAAAGGAUUUGAGUUCAGUGUCCUUUAAGUUGGAUUUUGCACAUCCACAUAGGUGCCAUGACUAAGUAGGUGAGGCUAAAACCAUCAUCCCCCCCGAAUUGUAUCUACUUUAAAUAUUGGGGUUCCACAUAGGAUUCUUUUUGGAGGUAAGAGAGAAAAGUCCUCUGGGCUGGUCCAGUCGCCUUUAUUUUGCAAAUUAAUAUGCUCAUGUUCAUGGAUAUUAUAUAGAUUGCCAAGUUGGAGAUAGGACUGGGGUUCCCUAAGUUUGCUAGGAGUAUUCACUGGGUAUUAAAUUGAGAGGCACACAUAAAUAUCAGGAUCCAUAGUCUAAAUUGGCACUGUCCAGUAAAACUUUCUGUAACAGUGGACAUAUUCUGAGGCUGCACUAUCCAAUAUGGCAGUCACUAGUCACAAGUGGCUGUUGAGCUCUUAAAAUAUUGCUAGUGCAGUGGGCGGUAUUGACUUUUAAAUUUAAUUUAAUUUAAAUCUGAGUAAUAAUGUGUAGUCAGUUGGUAGCUACCCUUUUGUACAAAGCAGAUCUGGAGUUUUACCUUCAUGAGUUGCCAGACUUGGAAGCAGAAUUUUUUGGGAGGGCAGAGAUUUAUUCGACCAAGUUAUAUUUCUGAGGGCAGGUCCAUGGCCUUAUGACCUAGAUUAAAGUAAAUAGAUAAAAUUCACAUUGUUGAAUGGAGGAAAUUAUAGUAGAAAGUGGAUUAUAUUUUAAUGCUCAUUUGGAGUACCUAACCUUACACAGUGGCCCAGAGUUUGGGAAACCGACCGUCAUCAUUCUUUCAUGAUGGUUUAGUUGAAUUUAUAUUCUGAUUCACCCCACAAAUUCAAAGGCCUCAAAAUGAUGGCAUUUUUACUGUGAAAAGCAGAAAAAUACAGUGUUUCUCUGUUUUAUUUGUAUUUGUGCUACCUACCUAUUUUAUGGUCCAUAUUUUUCUGUAAGA